Molecule: ribosomal RNA, 449 nt
Filed under: Streptococcus mitis
Lineage: Bacteria; Bacillati; Bacillota; Bacilli; Lactobacillales; Streptococcaceae
Description: bacterial SSU rRNA
Rfam family: Bacterial small subunit ribosomal RNA
Source: RNAcentral
GACGAACGCUGGCGGCGUGCCUAAUACAUGCAAGUAGAACGCUGAAGAGAGGAGCUUGCUCUUCUUGGAUGAGUUGCGAACGGGUGAGUAACGCGUAGGUAACCUGCCUGGUAGCGGGGGAUAACUAUUGGAAACGAUAGCUAAUACCGCAUAAUAGCAGUUAUUGCAUGAUAACUGUUUAAAAGGUGCAAUUGCAUCACUACCAGAUGGACCUGCGUUGUAUUAGCUAGUUGGUGAGGUAACGGCUCACCAAGGCGACGAUACAUAGCCGACCUGAGAGGGUGAUCGGCCACACUGGGACUGAGACACGGCCCAGACUCCUACGGGAGGCAGCAGUAGGGAAUCUUCGGCAAUGGACGGAAGUCUGACCGAGCAACGCCGCGUGAGUGAAGAAGGUUUUCGGAUCGUAAAGCUCUGUUGUAAGAGAAGAACGAGUGUGAGAGUGGAAA